CAUGCGAUGAUUUAAAUACUUU
RNAcentral lists this microRNA (22 nucleotides) under Glycine max (soybean). Its description in RNAcentral is "gma-miR9747". The record is from miRBase by way of RNAcentral. Lineage: Eukaryota; Viridiplantae; Streptophyta; Magnoliopsida; Fabales; Fabaceae.